Molecule: ribosomal RNA, 253 nt
Filed under: uncultured bacterium
Lineage: Bacteria
Description: partial 16S ribosomal RNA
Rfam family: Bacterial small subunit ribosomal RNA
Source: RNAcentral
CACGUAGGGGGCGAGCGUUGUUCGGAAUUACUGGGCGUAAAGGGCAUGUAGGCGGCCUUAUAAGCCUGGCGUGAAAGUCCACGGCUCAACCGUGGGAUUGCGUUGGGAACUGUAGGGCUCGAGUCACGGAGAGGGAGCUAGAAUUCCUGGUGUAGGGGUGAAAUCUGUAGAGAUCAGGAAGAAUACCAGUGGCGAAGGCGAGCUCCUGGCCGAUGACUGACGCUGAGGUGCGAAAGUGUGGGGAUCAAACAGG